AGCGAACGCUGGCGGCAGGCCUAACACAUGCAAGUCGAACGAACCUUUCGGGGUUAGUGGCGGACGGGUGAGUAACACGUGGGAACGUGCCUUUAGGUUCGGAAUAACUCAGGGAAAAUUGUGCUAAUACCGAAUGUGCCCUUCGGGGGAAAGAUUUAUCGCCUUUAGAGCGGCCCGCGUCUGAUUAGCUAGUUGGUUGAGGUAAUGGCUCACCAAGGCGACGAUCAGUAGCUGGUCUGAGAGGAUGAUCAGCCACAUUGGGACUGAGACACGGCCCAAACUCCUACGGGAGGCAGCAGUGGCGAAUCUUGCGCAAUGGGCGAAAGCCUGACGCAGCCAUGCCGCGUGAAUGAUGAAGGUCUUAGGAUUGUAAAAUUCUUUCACCGGGGACGAUAAUGACGGUACCCGGAGAAGAAGCCCCGGCUAACUUCGUG
This 434-nucleotide ribosomal RNA is filed under the name uncultured bacterium. Its description in RNAcentral is "partial 16S ribosomal RNA". It matches the Rfam family "Bacterial small subunit ribosomal RNA", at positions 29 to 507 of the family's 1533-position model. The record is from RNAcentral.